UACGUAGGCAGCAAGCGUUGUUCGGAGUUACUGGGCGUAAAGGGUGUGUAGGCGGUUGUUUAAGUUUGGUGUGAAAUCUCCCGGCUCAACUGGGAGGGUGCGCCGAAUACUGAAUGACUAGAGUGCGGGAGAGGAAAGUGGAAUUCCUGGUGUAGCGGUGAAAUGCGAAGAUAUCAGGAGGAACACCGGUGGUGUAGACGGCUUUCUGGACCGUAACUGACGCUGAGACACGAAAGCGUGGGUAGCAAACAGG
This 253-nucleotide ribosomal RNA is filed under the name uncultured bacterium. RNAcentral describes it as "partial 16S ribosomal RNA". It matches the Rfam family "Bacterial small subunit ribosomal RNA", at positions 524 to 776 of the family's 1533-position model. The record is from RNAcentral.